UACGUAGGGUGCGAGCGUUAAUCGGAAUUACUGGGCGUAAAGCGUGCGCAGGCGGUGCUGUAAGACCGAUGUGAAAUCCCCGGGCUUAACCUGGGAACUGCAUUGGUGACUGCAGCGCUGGAGUAUGGCAGAGGGGGGUGGAAUUCCACGUGUAGCAGUGAAAUGCGUAGAGAUGUGGAGGAACACCGGUGGCGAAGGCGGCAUCCUGGACCGGCAUUGACGCUGAGGAGCGAAAGCCAGGGGAGCAAACGGG
This 253-nucleotide ribosomal RNA is filed under the name uncultured bacterium. RNAcentral's name for it is "partial 16S ribosomal RNA". It matches the Rfam family "Bacterial small subunit ribosomal RNA", at positions 524 to 776 of the family's 1533-position model. The record is from RNAcentral.